This 497-nucleotide ribosomal RNA is filed under the name uncultured bacterium. RNAcentral's name for it is "partial 16S ribosomal RNA". It matches the Rfam family "Bacterial small subunit ribosomal RNA", at positions 28 to 507 of the family's 1533-position model. The record is from RNAcentral.
GAUGAACGCUGGCGGCGUGCCUAAUACAUGCAAGUCGAGCGAACAGACGAGGAGCUUGCUCCUCUGACGUUAGCGGCGGACGGGUGAGUAACACGUGGAUAACCUACCUAUAAGACUGGGAUAACUUCGGGAAACCGGAGCUAAUACCGGAUAAUAUAUUGAACCGCAUGGUUCAAUAGUGAAAGACGGUUUUGCUGUCACUUAUAGAUGGAUCCGCGCCGCAUUAGCUAGUUGGUAAGGUAACAGCUUACCAAGGCAACGAUGCGUAGCCGACCUGAGAGGGUGAUCGGCCACACUGGAACUGAGACACGGUCCAGACUCCUACGGGAGGCAGCAGUAGGGAAUCUUCCGCAAUGGGCGAAAGCCUGACGGAGCAACGCCGCGUGAGUGAUGAAGGUCUUCGGGUCGUAAAACUCUGUUAUUAGGGAAGGACAAAUGUGUAAGUAACUAUGCACGUCUUGACGGUACCUAAUCAGAAAGCCACGGCUAACUACGUG